AAUUGGGUUUGAGCCCGAACCAUGAUGGACAUGGGGGAAAGGUGGACACCUAAGUGGGUUAGAGUCCCAUACGGUGAAAGAUACCCUAAGUGGGUCAGAGUGCCAUACAGUGAAAAAUACCCUAAGUGGGUUAGAGUCUCAUACGGGUGACGAUCGCUUGAACUGGGGAUUAAGCCUCAUAGAGGACCCGAUAUACCGUGAAAGUCGAAUCAUGCGAGCAUGCAUAAAUCGAGCUUGGCAUAGACGUAGGUC
RNAcentral lists this long non-coding RNA (252 nucleotides) under Lathyrus oleraceus (garden pea). Its description in RNAcentral is "Pisum sativum (pea) long non-coding RNA (PSAT_LNC020204)". The record is from RNAcentral. Lineage: Eukaryota; Viridiplantae; Streptophyta; Magnoliopsida; Fabales; Fabaceae.